This 836-nucleotide long non-coding RNA is filed under the name Selaginella moellendorffii. RNAcentral's name for it is "long non-coding RNA (SMOE_LNC002354)". The record is from RNAcentral. Lineage: Eukaryota; Viridiplantae; Streptophyta; Lycopodiopsida; Selaginellales; Selaginellaceae.
UUCGUUCAAGAAUCAAGUACUUACUUUCAGUCGACGCAGUUUGUCGCUCACUCCCACAUGCUGUACCAAGAUAGGAGAGACCAAUGCUGAUCUUGAAGGCCAUCUCUCAUCCACUUCCCCUCCACAAACUCAUAAGUGACACUUGCAUCUUCAUCCACCAACUUGUUCCUGCUGCAGAUCUCAAACACUUUGAUCCCCAGCUUCGUCGUGUACCAGUUAAGCAGAGGGUAGAAAGUGUCAGCGAUAUACUUGAACUCUGGAAUAGUGUGAGCAUGACCGUGAAUAUCGAACAAGACACGAAUCUUCUGCUGGAGCUCUGACAUCUCCAUCUUCUUCAACUGUAUGUCCGACCUAUCCACUAAGAAGGUUGCAGUAGUCGAGGAAGAGGAAGCUCAUUGAAGAGUGUCCAGGAUCCCCAUUGUGUGCACUCUAGUGUUCCGCCUCGGCUUGAUGCACGACAAGUAAAACCCCAUACAUUUCCUGAUGUCGCACUGCUGCUGGCAGGAAUCCAUGUCUUUGUCCAGCUCCUCCUUAGCGGCUUGGAUAACCCGUUUACAGAUGACAUGCAUACCUUCUUUGCAUGCUGAACUUCGCUUCCGAUCCCAAUCAGGGGGAAGUACCUGUCCCUGAAUCUCAAAAUCAUGCUAUACCUCACUUAGAGAUUUCUCGCUCGCCUCCUUGUUGAAAACGAACCACCACAGGCUCCUGUAAGUUAUGGCAGCUUUGUCAUAGGAGCUGUAUGGCUUCAACUUCCUAGGCCCUAUAGGCCUGCAGUCCACCAGCUCGUCAAGAACUCCCUGCUUCUGUAUGGCUUCCCUUGUAAAGUAAGAAAGGAA